CCUACGGGAGGCAGCAGUAGGGAAUCUUCGGCAAUGGGGGCAACCCUGACCGAGCAACGCCGCGUGAGUGAAGAAGGUUUUCGGAUCGUAAAGCUCUGUUGUAAGUCAAGAACGGGUGUGAGAGUGGAAAGUUCACACUGUGACGGUAGCUUACCAGAAAGGGACGGCUAACUACGUGCCAGCAGCCGCGGUAAUACGUAGGUCCCGAGCGUUGUCCGGAUUUAUUGGGCGUAAAGCGAGCGCAGGCGGUUUGAUAAGUCUGAAGUUAAAGGCUGUGGCUCAACCAUAGUUCGCUUUGGAAACUGUCAAACUUGAGUGCAGAAGGGGAGAGUGGAAUUCCAUGUGUAGCGGUGAAAUGCGUAGAUAUAUGGAGGAACACCGGUGGCGAAAGCGGCUCUCUGGUCUGUAACUGACGCUGAGGCUCGAAAGCGUGGGGAGCGAACAGGAUUAGAUACCCUGGUAGUCCACGCCGUAAACGAUGAGUGCUAGGUGUUGGAUCCUUUCCGGGAUUCAGUGCCGCAGCUAACGCAUUAAGCACUCCGCCUGGGGAGUACGACCGCAAGGUUGAAACUUAAAGGAAUUGACGG
RNAcentral lists this ribosomal RNA (587 nucleotides) under uncultured bacterium. RNAcentral's name for it is "bacterial SSU rRNA". It matches the Rfam family "Bacterial small subunit ribosomal RNA", at positions 338 to 916 of the family's 1533-position model. The record is from RNAcentral.